RNAcentral lists this ribosomal RNA (506 nucleotides) under uncultured bacterium. Its description in RNAcentral is "bacterial SSU rRNA". It matches the Rfam family "Bacterial small subunit ribosomal RNA", at positions 19 to 518 of the family's 1533-position model. The record is from RNAcentral.
CUGGCUCAGGAUGAACGCUAGCGGCAGGCUUAACACAUGCAAGUCGAGGGGCAACGCGAGUAGCAAUACUUGGCGGCGACCGGCGCAAGGGUGCGUAACGCGUGAGCAACAUGCCCGUAUCAGGGGGAUAAUCCAGGGAAACUUGGUCUAAUACCCCACAGUAAUUUUGUAAGGCAUCUUAUAAGAUUUAAAGCUUUGGUGGAUACGGAUUGGCUCGCGUGACAUUAGCUGGAUGGUAAGGUAACGGCUUACCAUGGCUAUGAUGUCUAGGGGUUCUGAGAGGAAGGUCCCCCACACUGGAACUGAGACACGGUCCAGACUCCUACGGGAGGCAGCAGUGAGGAAUAUUGGACAAUGGAUGGAAAUCUGAUCCAGCCAUGCCGCGUGAAAAGGAAGAAGGUCCUAUGGAUUGUAAACUUCUUUUGUAUGGGAGCAAUAAGGCCUACGAGUGGGUUGAUGAGAGUACCAUACGAAUAAGCACCGGCUAACUCCGUGCCAGCAGCUGC